This 65-nucleotide transfer RNA is filed under the name Pseudotibiozus cerasopus. Its description in RNAcentral is "tRNA-Val". The record is from RNAcentral. Lineage: Eukaryota; Metazoa; Arthropoda; Diplopoda; Spirostreptida; Spirostreptidae.
CAAAAUAUAGUUUGAUAAAACAUUUCAGUUACAAUGAGAAAAUUUCUUUUUAUAGAAUAUUUUGU